UACAGAGGUCCCGAGCGUUUGUUCGGAUUCACUGGGCGUAAAGGGUGCGUAGGUGGUCGGGUAAGUCUGAUGUGAAAUCUCUGGGCUCAACCCAGAAACUGCAUUGGAUACUAUCCGGCUAGAGGAGUGGAGGGGGGACUGGAAUACUUGGUGUAGCAGUGAAAUGCGUAGAUAUCAAGUGGAACACCAGUGGCGAAGGCGAGUCCCUGGACACUUCCUGACACUGAGGCACGAAAGCUAGGGGAGCAAGCAGG
RNAcentral lists this ribosomal RNA (254 nucleotides) under uncultured bacterium. RNAcentral describes it as "partial 16S ribosomal RNA". It matches the Rfam family "Bacterial small subunit ribosomal RNA", at positions 524 to 776 of the family's 1533-position model. The record is from RNAcentral.